UCAAACUUGGUCAUUUAGAGGAAGUAAAAGUCGUAACAAGGUUUCCGUAGGUGAACCUGCGGAAGGAUCAUUAUCGAGUUAGGGUCCCUCACACGGGCUCGACCUCCCAACCCUGUGUCUACCACACUUAUGUCGUUGCUUCGGCGGACCGGUCGACCCAAACUCCGGUCGUGACCGCCGGGGGAGUUCGCCCCUCUGGACAGCGUCCGCCGAUGGCCCAACCACAAAAACUCUUGUUUCCAACCGUGGCGUCUGAAAAUUUUGAAUCAAAUCGAAACGAAAAAACUUUCAACAACGGAUCUCUUGGUUCUGGCAUCGAUGAAGAACGCAGC
Molecule: unclassified non-coding RNA, 332 nt
Filed under: uncultured fungus
Lineage: Eukaryota; Fungi
Description: partial contains small subunit ribosomal RNA, internal transcribed spacer 1, and 5.8S ribosomal RNA
Rfam family: Eukaryotic small subunit ribosomal RNA (bases 1-73)
Source: RNAcentral